This 222-nucleotide unclassified non-coding RNA is filed under the name rhizosphere metagenome. Its description in RNAcentral is "partial ribosomal RNA internal transcribed spacer region". The record is from RNAcentral.
GUAGGUGAACCUGCGGAGGGAUCAUUACACAAUAUGAAAGCGGGCUUGGAAUCCUUCGGGGUUCUCAGCCUUGCUGAAUUAUUCACCCGUGUCUUUUGCGUACUUCUUGUUUCCUUGGUGGGCUCGCCCACCAUAGGACCAACCAUAAACCUUUUGUAAUUGCAAUCAGCGUCAGUAACAAAUUAAUAAUUACAACUUUUAACAACGGAUCUCUUGGUUCUG